UGGGGAAUAUUGGACAAUGGGCGAAAGCCUGAUCCAGCCAUGCCGCGUGUGUGAAGAAGGUCUUCGGAUUGUACAGCACUUUAAGUUGGGAGGAAGGGCAUUAACCUAAUACGUUAGUGUUUUGACGUUACCGACAGAAUAAGCACCGGCUAACUCUGUGCCAGCAGCCGCGGUAAUACAGAGGGUGCAAGCGUUAAUCGGAAUUACUGGGCGUAAAGCGCGCGUAGGUGGUUUGUUAAGUUGGAUGUGAAAUCCCCGGGCUCAACCUGGGAACUGCAUUCAAAACUGACUGACUAGAGUAUGGUAGAGGGUGGUGGAAUUUCCUGUGUAGCGGUGAAAUGCGUAGAUAUAGGAAGGAACACCAGUGGCGAAGGCGACCACCUGGACUAAUACUGACACUGAGGUGCGAAAGCGUGGGGAGCAAACA
RNAcentral lists this ribosomal RNA (427 nucleotides) under uncultured bacterium. RNAcentral's name for it is "partial 16S ribosomal RNA". It matches the Rfam family "Bacterial small subunit ribosomal RNA", at positions 355 to 774 of the family's 1533-position model. The record is from RNAcentral.